This is a long non-coding RNA of Thunnus maccoyii (southern bluefin tuna), 1102 nucleotides long. RefSeq lists it as uncharacterized. Lineage: Eukaryota; Metazoa; Chordata; Actinopteri; Scombriformes; Scombridae. The record is from RefSeq and is a predicted model, not a curated record. The transcript is spliced from 3 exons.
AAACACAUUUUUGGCAUUUUUUCUUGUGAAACAAUUAUAUAAAAUUAAGAUAUUAUUGCUGAUUCAUUUUCUAUUGAUCAACUUUAUCAAUUUAACAUUGUAGCUCCACUUCAAACCCUGCCCAUAUUACAUUUGAAGUUUUUACUUGACUGUUAUUUUGUAAACUAAUCAAAAGUUCAUAUUCAUGUGUUUUGUACACAUUUAGGACUAAAUCACUCACUCACCAGAAAGGUGCUAUUGUAUUGGAUCUAAUUGACUGAGUGACAUUGCCCCUUGUACAGCAAUCAGAGUCUAGAACAAAAUGUUCAUGAAAAUGAGAUGCACUCUGCGUGAGCGCGAGGGGUCUCUGAGUUCUUCAAGACCAGCAGUGUAACUUCUCAGUACACUCACAGAAAUGUCAAUAUCUAUCAGUACAGUGUUGACAUAACAUAUUGUAUGGGAAACGAACUUGAACUCCUCCUGUAGCAUUCUCAAAAUUUAAGUAGACUCAAGGAUAGGUUUGGACUUUUUCAAGUCUAUCUCAAUACAAUAUUCAAAUGUCAAAUGUAAAUCGACAAAGUUAUUAGUGGGCGGAAAUUAUUCGUCCUAUCUCCAUAAUAGCCGCAAAGCAGUCCCUUCCUAUCAGGUAGGAUGAGUCUCUAAACGGUCUGCAGAAUUACAUUGAGUGUGUUUUGCCAGUUAUCAAGUGGCUCCACAUGAUCACAGCUGAUGGAGACCACUGUCCAGUGAGAGCUUGAUUCUAACUGAUGCUACCUGGAUGAGAUGUCCCAAACUGAUUUACUGCACAAUAGUUGAUGCUUCAUAUGAUGUUCACUGUCUGUGUAGAUUAGUCACUGCAUAAAUGCCUAUCGAUAGAUGCCUGUUUUUUGUCUAGCUGUCAACAUAUCCACAUUUCUAUUUAUUUUUUGAGACAUUGAGUGUACAAACCUGUUGAUGAGGAGGUUCACUCAGUGUGACACCUGCUGGUCAUUUUUUGUAACUACUUUUGGCAUGCUUGCUGUUGGUUCUAUGCCAUUGAUCUCUGUAAUUAUUGAGAGCUCAUAGUACCCUAAUACCCCACUAGAAAACUGCACUCCCAGAAUGCAGCUUACUGGUGGUUCCU